AACGAACGCUGGCGGCAUGCCUAACACAUGCAAGUCGAACGAGCCGUUCGGGUCUAUUGGCGCCCGAGUGCGUAACCCGUGGGAACCUGCCCUUAUGUUCGGCCUACCUCCCCGACAGGGGUGCUAAUACCGGAUCAUAUCUUCUGCCCAAAGAUUUAUCGCCUUUGGAUGGUCCCUCGUUGGAUUCGCUAGUUGGUAGGGUAAUAGCCUACCAAGGCCACGAUCAUAGCUUGUCUGAGAGGAUGAGCAGCCACACUGGGACUGAGACACGGCCCAGACUCCUACGGGAGGCAGCAGUGGGGAAUAUUGGACAAUGGGCGAAAGCCUGAUCCAGCAAUGACGCGUGAGUGAUGAAGGCCUUAGGGUUGUAAAGCUCAUUUACCCGGGAUGAUAAUGACAGUACCGGGAGAAUAAGCGCCGGCUAACUCCGUG
RNAcentral lists this ribosomal RNA (432 nucleotides) under uncultured bacterium. RNAcentral's name for it is "partial 16S ribosomal RNA". It matches the Rfam family "Bacterial small subunit ribosomal RNA", at positions 29 to 507 of the family's 1533-position model. The record is from RNAcentral.